Bombina bombina (fire-bellied toad) is the source of this 257-nucleotide long non-coding RNA. RefSeq lists it as uncharacterized. The record is from RefSeq and is a predicted model, not a curated record. The transcript has 3 exons. NCBI's taxonomy places the organism in Eukaryota, Metazoa, Chordata, Amphibia, Anura, Bombinatoridae.
CCUUGAUUCAGGAGGAUCUGAAGUAGUAAACGGAGAGAAGUGAAAUGCCAUAAAACAGUCAAAACAAGGUGAUGAUUCAGAACACGAAGACCUGUUGCCCUACAAGGAUAAAGAAUGAUUGGCAGGGACAAUAUGGAGGACAUACCUGAUUUGGCAGUUACACAAGAUACCAAUUCGACGACCAAUGGCGGUGAUGAUGUGAAUACAGACAUCCUCACUUAUACAGAUGAAGAUGCCAAUAGAAUCCUGAUUACAAC